GACAAGACUCAAUUAUCUAUCUUCUCACUUCCGGGUAAAACUAUUGGCACAUGUGUAUUGACAGUAAUGACUGAAGAGCUUCAUCAUGCUGCCACCCAUUAUGUCCUGACAAAUUGUGAUGAGUGUUUGCCUUUUAUUGAAGAACAUAAGGACAUUCUUCGUAUACAACAUGGUGAUGAUCGGGUGGAUGAGUUGCACAAAAAAAAUUUGUGGAAUGGUUUUCUAAGAAGAUCCAACAAUUGUAUGUAGAUGGAAAAGUGAGCGCUCAAAUGCG
Long non-coding RNA from Rosa rugosa (rugosa rose), 274 nucleotides. RefSeq lists it as uncharacterized. The transcript has 3 exons. NCBI's taxonomy places the organism in Eukaryota, Viridiplantae, Streptophyta, Magnoliopsida, Rosales, Rosaceae. The record is from RefSeq and is a predicted model, not a curated record.